RNAcentral lists this unclassified non-coding RNA (717 nucleotides) under Hevea brasiliensis (rubber tree). The record is from RNAcentral. Lineage: Eukaryota; Viridiplantae; Streptophyta; Magnoliopsida; Malpighiales; Euphorbiaceae.
AAUCGAUCUCAUUCAAGAGCUCUUCGCUAAUGCUAAAGAAGAUUAUGAUCAUCCAGAAGAUCAAAUCGCAGAUAUCCUUCCAGGGUUGUCUCCAAUACCCUUUAAGGAUUUACCCCAUGAGAUAAUCCUGAAAAAUCCGAGUAAUCCAGAUCCAGUGGUGCCACUUUUAUCAUCUAUGGUGAAAAAACUACCACAAGCAUCCGCUGUUCUGUUGAACUCUUAUGAAGAACUAAAUCCAACUCUCCUAACAAAUUAUCUCAAGUCCAAUCUUCAGAAUGUUCUCUACGUCGGUUCUUUAACUCAAUCACCACCAGCAUUUGGUGCAGAUGCCACAGGUUGUUGCCAUGGCUGGAUGAACAAAAAGUUGCACCUGUUGCAUAUGUGAGCGAUCGGAACAGUUGCAGAACUGGAUUCUGAGGAAUUAAAGGAAUUAGCUUAAGCACUUGAAGUUAGUGAAGUUCCUUUUCUUUGUUCUCUCAAAGACCACCUGAAGGAUUAUCUCCCAGAUGGAUUUGCUGAGAGAACUAGAAAGCAUGGAAAGGUAGUUCCAUAGUGGUAUGGGGUUAGAAGUUUAGGAAGUAAAUUGUAAUUUUCAGGGACUAAAAGUGAUAUUUUGUAUUUAAUUUCAUUUAUGUAAUAUUAGGGGUGUGAUAGCUCAAGCAUAGUGAUGUCUCAUCCUGCCACACCCCAUUAUGUUCCUAACGCUCUUUAGGGGGG